Cryptotermes secundus is the source of this 8721-nucleotide RNA transcript. RefSeq lists it as uncharacterized. The record is from RefSeq and is a predicted model, not a curated record. NCBI's taxonomy places the organism in Eukaryota, Metazoa, Arthropoda, Insecta, Blattodea, Kalotermitidae. The transcript is spliced from 8 exons.
UGAACAGUAGCAGAGUUUAGAGUUCCUGAUCGAUAGACCGACAGACCGGCGAGCUGAGGGAGCGAAGUGUGUGGGAAAGUGUAAAGAAGUAACAUAUCUGAUGUAGCGUUUACAAGGAACUCGGAGUGGUGGCGUGAAUGGGUGUGUGAACAGUAGUAACAUUACGCGGAUGAACACUGGACACGUCUGUCAUCGUACCAAUUCAGUGCUGCUUCUUCGGACGCUAGAAAUUGUACGGUGUUAGCAAGAAAUGUGUGAAGUAUGACUGUCUUUUGAUAUUUUUAAUAUAGGCAUGCUACAGUAUAUGCAGUAAAAGUUGCAUAGUCUCUCUGCAGAGACCUUACUUGUGUGUAUACGAAAGACACGUCAUGUGAAUUUUGUGUUGCAAGAGUUCAAAAUAAUUGGCGCAGUGAGAUUUUUCUUACCCCAUUCGAUCUCUCUUACUAUAAGGGGCCAAAGAAGUGUUUACGCUAGCGUUAUCUUGCGGAACAUCGGGAGACAUGCCCGCUUAGUAAUGGCUGACACCUUAAACGAUCGACACGCAAUUCGACACAGUCUAUUUGCUGUUCGUAUUAAUGUAACAAUAUGAAAUUUGAUGACAGUGGAUAAUAUACGGUGUGUAGGUGACUAUGGAACAUGUUAGAAUUGUAUGAUGGUAGCAUAUCAGUGUAUGACCCGUGUGAUAUUCUUUUUUUGUUUCGAACGACAGCAGCGACGGUAACGACGUCGGUGGUGAUAUAAUGGUACUAUAAUAUAAAUAUGGCGACAGUCGGCGCCUUUUAACUGGCAUGGCGCUAAUAUCAAGGGGCCCCGGACCCCCUCUCUGGGCCCCAUUUGGAAUCAUCCUACUCUUGCUGCUUCUUAUGGCGGGAACAGUUACGUCGGAAAAGAACAAAUACUAUCACAUGUCAUCGCUCUGCAAGAACCACUUCCUGGCGCUGCUGUACCGGAAGAUAGACGGAGCUGUGCUGCAGUCUCAGAACGAGAGGAACCUCGAUUGCGUCAUCACCUUCCAGACCCAUUCCAUUCUGCAGCGCUUCAUGCUGCGGUUCGAUCUCCUGCAGCUGGACUGCAAUGACCAUCUUUUCAUAUACGACGGUGCCCAUGCCGUCGGAAGCUACAAGUCGGACCUUUCAUGUCGAAACACCAAGCAGACAGUGGGCGCCAUCUAUACGAGGACCAACUUUGUGACGCUAAAGUACGUCACAGACGGGUGGGGAACGGAGUCCAACGGCUUCAAACUCGUCAUCACAGCGUUCAAAGACAAAAAACACACGUGUGAAGACUUCAGGUGUAACCGGGAAAUCUGCAUACACACCGACCUGGUAUGUGACGAGGUGAAUCACUGUGGAGACGGCUCGGACGAGCUGAGCAGUGAUGGCUGCACGCCGAACGAGCUGGGCUCGGUGCUGGGCAUGAACUCCCUCAUCUUCGUCGUGGUGGUCGUGAGCACCGUCCUGAUUAUAUGCGCAGCGGUGGUUGCCCUAGCCGUCUGCAUCUGUCGGCGUGACAGUCACCACGGCCGACCUCCACACCUCCAGUCCACGCAGCAGCAGCCACCAAAUGCGUCAUUCCCAUUGCAACAGAUGUACGGGUCGAACGGCGCAGGAACGUUGACCAGCUGCACCAUGGUGAAGCCUCUGCCUCCUCCGGGAAACUGGCGUCACCCUGCGGGGCUUCGGCUCGGGUACAGCGCGGCCCGGGUCCGCCUCUACUGCCAGGCAAAGUGAGGAGCUCGGGCUCCGACAGUGACAUUUCCUCCAGUCAAAAGGACGAAUGGUUCGUGUAGAGGUUGACCUGGUCCAAUGCCCUGCAGGGUGAAGUCCGAGUCGGUAGGAGUACCCUCUACCGGUCGGCACCGCAACUAAUCUCGGAUAGUUGCUUUGAAAUUUCUUCCACCAGCAGACGUCACUCUUGAGAUGCUGGUAGGAGAGAGAACAUUAGAUACUUGUUUCCUGUGUGCAGAGAAGAAACAGUCAAGUCUGAAGAAGAGCAAAUCGACAGUGAUUUAGGAAUAAUAUGACUUGAAGUUACGCAUGGAAUUCUAAAGUUUAAGUUAAGGAGAUAAAUAGAGAAAACAGGGGAAAAUGGGGCUACAAAUGAAACGUAUAGAGUAGAAACAAACAACUGAACGUCGCUUUCCAGGGUUGAAAACAAAACAAUAAAAUGAAUCUGCAUUAACUAUUUGCUGACAAGUGCCUGUUUAAUGUCACAACAAUAGACGCCAGAACAUCAGCAGCAGAAACAACAAAAGAAGAUCAAGAAGUCAGAAUAAGAAACAUAUGUUGCAACAUCUUUAUUAUUAUUAUUAUUUUAUCAUGUGCCGUACGAAGCGAACUGUUGCAAAUUUAGGAGGUGUUGUAAGCAUAGGUUCUACUUUUUUACACGAUUUGCCUGAGUUUAAUUCUCGCUGUCCUUCAAAAGAAUCAGGAUGCAGCAACAAUAAUGAUGAUAUCUCUUUCCACUGUUGCCAGAGAACAAUGACGUCAGUAACAAAAUAUCAAGGGAAGUGUUACGCCGAAACCAAGAACCAAAUUAACUGAUCUGUGUGUCCAGGAUAAGGACAUUUCCUUAACUUAUGUUUAUUUAUGACAGUUACUACAUGCCCUGUAUCAUUAUGCCGUACACCUCACAGUCCUUUCGAAUUUGCAGAUAUUUAAAAGCAGACUUUAUAAAGAUCAAGAGCUACUUGAAAAUUAUCCUGCAUUCGAAAGGAAAAUUUCACACUAGGAAAAUAUUUGUAUACUAUUACUGACUAUUAAUAAUAUAUCAUCGUCAUCAUUAUCAUCAUCACAAGUUAGGUUUUUUGAGGUAAUAACAUUUUAGAGAACUGUUUUCGUUGAAUCAUAAGAAAUGUUCAUGUAAGAAAAAUGUUAUUAAGUUUACUGAUUAUGAAUCCAAACAUUAUCAUCAGCCACAUACUGCCUGCCACCCAGAGCAGAGGACGGUUCCAGACAAUAGCCAAAGAACAGCAAAGAGUUUUGUAAAUGACUCUGAUGUGGAACGAUUUAUCUGUUACGACCGCUUGAUAACUGAUGGAUUCUUCAAAUAGGGUGGCUAUUAAUUGUAAGACAGUGUAAUUCUAAGGUAUGAUUUCAGUGUCUGUUCCUCUGUUAGUUCAUAUGGCAUUCGAUGACGCCUGGUGUUUUUGCAAUGUAGAGACUGGCGUUGUUGACAGGACAGUUCUGCGAAAACCACAUGAUUUAAUUUGACCAGUACAUUUAAAUAUUAAAAUGUUUCACGCAAGAACUAGCACGUGCUUUCAGGAAGAGAAACGGGCUAUCCCAGUUUGGCUUCAAAAUGCAAGAUUCUGCUGUCAGUAUAUAUUUAUAAUUCACUAGAAACACCUGCGCCCCCUUCGUUUUGCCUCUUAAAUAGGGGUGAUCACUUUGAGGUAUAAUGAAUAUCAGUGGUAAAAGGGAAACAAUUAGAUUAUGUUAAUUUUAGCUCAGUAAGUAGUAAAUCGUUCCAUCUGUAACACGGGAAGGCAUUAUACAUGGAGUUAUCCAGACAGCGGAACCCUCAAGCGAAAUUCGAGUACUUAGUUGGCCUUACUUGGCGGGGGAGCGCCCGAACCCUCCACUUGCGUCCGCACUCGCAUGGAUACGUCCUGUAUUAUUCUAGUCUUAAAGAAUCUUCAAGGCACCGUAUUGAGAAGCCUUUUCGUGUUUUGUGCGAAUCAGACAUCUAUAUUUCGCAUUCCUUAUUAAGAACAUAUCAAAACCACUCUGCUACAGAUGAAUUAAAACUCUGUGGAGAGGGUUCAAAUAUUAUAAGUACAAUCACAAAUAAUAUCAGUAGAUUAAUUAAAGAAUUGUCCCUCCGUAAGUGAUUAAAAUAUUUGUGAGUGAUAAACAUCGUAUGCUAUAUUUCACGUGUUUUAAAAUUUCAGAUUAACAUUGUGGUCAUCUGGAUUACAACACUGUGCAGUUACAUUGGUGGUUGUCGCUGAUGUGGUAACAGAUUACGAAUCUAUCAGGUAACAUGUACCCAACAGACUAGGAUCUCAUGCUAUGUGUUUUGUUGUUUAUGACGUGUAUAUAAAUAGCAUACUUAAGUCCGUAUUAAAGCAUUUAAUUUCAAAUAAUGAUGAUUAUAGAUCCACCUGGAGCACGUGUUACAGUUAUAUGCGUUGGCUGUACAUUUUUAUUUGUGGGGAAUUUAUUUGACCCAAUCUUUGUUUUCUAAGAAAUACUUGAAAUGUUAGAAUCAACAGCAAUACACGUAUAUGACUCUUUCUUAAUUUGAAUAUUUCAAUAAAAUUUGUAUCCUAAUGUGAUUUUAGGGACCUUUUUUAAUAAUUCUAAUAUAUUAUUAAGCACACGAUACUUCAGAACGUACUUGGGGUGAUUUAUUUAGUUUGUUUCAGAAUGAAAAUUGAGAAACUAGACUCGGGUAGCAUAUUAGGUCCAUAACUUUCGUAUUUAUCCGUUUGUUUUCACCCUAGAAGUUCCAAAAUUACUUUUAUUCAUUGUGGCCACAUAUAUUCAAUUGGCAAAAUUAUGCAUGAAUUUAUAUGCAUCAUUUUAACGUUGGUAAGAUGGAACAGAGGAAAACGAAUCAUGAAACCUUCGGAAGACUAGAUUACACAUUCAAUUAGGAACACUUCCAAAUGAUCUUUGAGUUGUGGAAUCUGAAGUUAUUCUCAUCGCAUUCAAUUUGUUUUGCUACACAGGAAAUAGCAAAGAAUAAAAUGAAGCUCUGUGUGGGAAUGCACAACGCUGAUAAUAGGUUUCAGUGGUAUGACCAAGCAGAAAGAAAUGUCGUGCUCGGAUGUCAUACUGUUUUAAAACCUGUGAAAUUUAGACGUCACGUUAUAUGAAAUUUUCGACCACAUUGUUCAGGAGGUUGAAGUAAACACAUACAGAAUUACUGAUUCUUCAAGAUUGCUAGUAGAAUUCUUCAAAUCAUGUAUAAAGAUCUGAUCUAAAUAAAUAUAUCUUUUAUAGCCUGCCUAUCAGACAUUAAUUUGUCUUUGACGCGCCUACUAAUGAAAAUUUUGUUAGUAAAGAAAAGCAAGUAUUCGAACAAAUGUUUAAAAUUUUAUUUGAAGCAUAUUUUCAAAGAUUUUUUCAAACAGGACUAAAAGUAGUAGGACGAAUUUUGGGAGACUUGGAGUUGUAGAUAUUGAUAGAAAUUUCAUACUAAAUAAUGGUCAAAUUAAUUUGUGUGGUUUUGCAACAAUUAGUGGUCAGGUUGAAACAAAUAAGAAUUUCUGACCUAGAAAACGUGGGUGUGCUGAGUGUUCUGCAUAGCUUGUCCUGUCUUCGUAAUUAUUACAUCAUAGAGACUUUAUUUUUGACACUUUAAUGACAAAAAUACGCAGAGAAACUCUUGGUAGUGUUUUGUUUAGCUGUGUCUGUGUGAGAUCACCUGGUGGUUCUGUGUGUGUGUGCGGUGUGUUCGCGAGAUUACUGCAGACCUGGAGCACACUGCCUAAUGGCGACCGAAAGAGAACGUGGCAAAUAUUUACAGAUAUGACGUUCUGCGAAACCCCCACUAGUGUCCUGGAGGUGUCAUGCUUCUAAAAUUGCGUUGCUAUUGGUCUUCUUUAGAAGCAUUCCUGGCCCACAUGAAUUUUAAUAAAGCUGUUAUAACCUCUUCGUUAUGGACUGCGUAUUUUAUUACAAAAAGACACAGAAAGAAACCUAAAGGGGACUUUGCAUAUCGCUUAGGUCCCUUAAGAAUUUAAACCACUCCGCACUUAUUUAUUUAAGUACAGUGAGUAUUAUGGACCACGCAGGAGCGAACACGGGUUAUGUGUUGGCCCCACUUGUGGCGAACAAUCUCGGACCCAUCAGCUGGAGUCCGUGCUCUCAGGAAAAUUCUCUGUCAAUACCGGCUAGCUGGAUCUCAACGCCGUGUGCAUGCUGCAACUUCUCUGACACAAUAGGUAGACGGGUCAGUCUUCUUAGGGGUUUGCAAGUCAUGGAUUUUUAAUGGCGUUGCACGCUCCGAAAUCUGCCCGAGAUCUCAUUUCAGUUUAAGCGUGAGUUUUGUGCGUAAGUAAGUCAUGAAAUUGUCGUUUGUAGUUUAAAAAUUAGGCAGAUUGGAUGGCUGCUUACUCGUAUAUGCUUCGUUUUGCAGAACUUGUAAUUGAAAGAUUUGCGUUUAAGUUACAACUUUCAUGGGUUUAUUGUCAGUCUCAUAAUUUUAAUAAAUUAUUUUCAAGUACCUGCAUAGUAAAUAAGAGCAACAUUCAUAUGAAGCAGAUUUGUAAUAGUCUGUAAUUAUAUACAAACCUAAAACGAAAAAAACUCUGUCUUAUUUUCUGUUCAAUGCAUACCUACAGGUCUAUUAGCAGUGGGGGAAGGUGACUAAAUCGAAGUCCGGAUCUAGGCAGUGUGCUACAGGUACAGAGAAACAAUAGCCUAAUAUUAUUGUCGCGAUACUAUUCUCUGUUUGAAUAUAAAUAUAAACAUUGGCUACGAAAUACUUCCCAGGCUACUGUAUGGAGUUUCGGAAUCCUGGGAAAUCAAGCGCCAAAUUCGUAUUAUGGUCUAAAUAUAAUUUCUGACAAAAUGUUUUGUGUGUGAAACAUACAAGAGAGUUUCAUGUAGGAUAUUUCAUACUGUUUUUUACUGUGUGCAAGGAAAAAUUAGCCAACUUUUCAUUAAAAACGUUGCGCUGUCGCUUUUUCUACGAAGCAGAAUGAAAGUAAUUAUAUCUUUCCAUUUCGUAAGUUCUUAAUGCAAGUUUAUGUAAGACAAAAAAAAAAUGUUAAAAGUCUAGUGAGGUUUACAUGUUGAUUAUUGCUUGUGCACAUAUCCGCACGAAUGUGUCCAUACAUGACCGCCUUUGGUCAUUGCAUGCUAAGAACAAUAUUACAAACACGUAUCUGAUGGUCAGAGUAGGCCACCUAUGGCUGUAGCUUUCUACACUAUUGUACUAGCGCUUAAUGCCUGCAUAGAUUUUAUCACUGGAAUGUAAAAUUAAUAUUUUGAGGAACACAGUUAACACACAAAUCACAUUUACGUGGGAAAGCUAUGAGAUCCUUGUGUUCACGGUGUAACUAUGAUAGUAGAAUGCUGGCUACACCCCUUCGUAUCCAUAUCACUCACAAGCAUAUCACUGCAACACACAUACAUACCAGUUACACCAAGGCGACAAUGUUUGACUGUGUUUAACCCUGCAUUGCACUCACAUAAUGUACACCCCCCACCCCUUUCUUUCCUUAUGACCGUCUGAAUUGUGACGGUCAGUACCAUCCCCUGUGCAGGUCCUAUAGAGGAAAGGACUGAGUCUGGAAACACAUGUGAUGCAAACCUCUGUUCUGUCCCAUUAUGAAACGAGAUGAGCUUUGGAGAGUCCUUCAGAUCACUGCUUUGGAUUUCUGUCAUCAUUUCAUUUCCCACUGGCAGCAGAAUGUGUACUUUUAGCCCGUGAGAGUAAAGACAGGACCCCACUGACUAUCUAUUUUGUGACAACAAAAUAUGAAUUUCAAAAAAUUUCGAUACGAACGCAAAAUUUUCUAUAAUCAGCAUGCUUGUAGGCUGUACCUGUUUCGAAGUUAAUAUCAAAGUAUAACGACUUUUGUGAACAGCCAAAAGUAACAAAUAUACUCGCUUUUAAUAUUUUACUAUUCGACUUUUUAUUGCUGCUACAUGUUUCGGUCCUACAAGACCAUCACCAGGCAGUUAUAUAUAUGAAUACGUACAGUUACUGAACUGCUAUAUGGAUCCAUACCACUGCAACGUGUCAUAUUAUAUACUGACAUAAAGUUUUGCCUCAAGUUGGUGUUAGAAUUAAAAUAUAAGCUACAAAAUAAGAUAAAAGAAUGUAAUAAUGAAAUAUAGACCAAGUGUCAAGAUAUAUUGGGUGAUAUAAAUGUUGAAUAUAUUAUCGAAAUGUUAAAAGUAUGUUCAAAAUAUUUAAAACUAUGGGGAGUACGGGAAAUUAAGGCAAAACUUUGUGUUAGUAUAUAAUACAGCACGUUGCACCGAUGUGGAUCCAUAUCGGUAGUUCAGUAACUGUACAUAUUCCUAUAUAUAAGUGCCUGAUGAUGGUCUUGUACACCCGAAAAAUGUAGCAGGAAUAAAGAUGGAAUUGUAAAACAUUAAGGACGAGAACAUUUGUUGUGGUGACAAUUAACCUAAUUCCUGCUGGUUAAGUAAAAUCUUGCCUUGUUUUUGUCAUGCAAAUGUGAACUUCUCUACUGCUCAGUGGACUGGAGAUUCUUAAGGUGGUGACAUCACAAGAGAUAGUACGCCUCAGUAUUGUAGCUAUAUAUGGCUUUAGAAAAGGGUUACGAGCUUUAACGUUUAUAGUACUCACUUAAAUGAGUACAAGAUUCCCAGUUAACACACGUCCAGAAUUCAAUGCCAACUGAAAGAUGGGCGAGUUUUUGUAUAUGACCGGAUGCUAGGGUGGGCAUCUUAGCUAGUCACCUCUUGGGACCAUUUGUCAUACCUGAUAGACUAACAGGUAGUGUGUGCCGUCGUAUUUUGGUGAAUGAUGUUGCAGUGCCCUUGGAACAGGUGCCUCUUCACCAGUGAUAACACACGCGGUUCAUGCAUGCUGGAGUAUCGCCCCAUUCUUUCGUUUUUUUUUCAGUCAGCGCAUCAACCAGGUUUUCCAUGAACGGUUGAUCGGUUGCGGAGGUCCAGCCAACCGGCCUGCACGAUCACUUGACCUUAAUCUUGACCUGUAUCAGGCCUUGGAGGCCCAUAGGGUUCUAAGAUAUUGAGGUUCUCAAUUUUUCUAGACAAUCGCAUCAUACAU